UGAGACCGGCGCACGGGUGCGUAACGCGUAUGCAAUCUACCUUGUACAGGGGGAUAGCCCAGAGAAAUUUGGAUUAAUACCCCAUAGUAUUUUCAGAUGGCCUCAUUUGAUUAUUAAAGUUCCAACGGUACAAGAUGAGCAUGCGUCCCAUUAGCUAGUUGGUGUGGUAACGGCAUACCAAGGCAACGAUGGGUAGGGGUCCUGAGAGGGAGAUCCCCCACACUGGUACUGAGACACGGACCAGACUCCUACGGGAGGCAGCAGUGAGGAAUAUUGGUCAAUGGGCGCAAGCCUGAACCAGCCAUGCCGCGUGCAGGAUGACGGUCCUAUGGAUUGUAAACUGCUUUUGUACAGGAAGAAACCCUCCCUUGUAAGGGAGCUUGACGGUACUGUAAGAAUAAGGAUCGGCUAACUCCGUGCCAGCAGCCGCGGUAAUACGGAGGAUCCAAGCGUUAUCCGGAAUCAUUGGGUUUAAAGGGUCCGUAGGCGGUUUUAUAAGUCAGUGGUGAAAUCUGGUCGCUCAACGAUCAAACGGCCAUUGAUACUGUAAGACUUGAAUUACUUGGAAGUAACUAGAAUAUGUAGUGUAGCGGUGAAAUGCUUAGAGAUUACAUGGAAUACCGAUUGCGAAGGCAGGUUACUACGAGUAUAUUGACGCUGAUGGACGAAAGCGUGGGGAGCGAACAGGAUUAGAUACCCUGGUAGUCCACGCCGUAAACGAUGGAUACUAGCUGUUUGGAGUAAUCUGAGUGGCUA
RNAcentral lists this ribosomal RNA (756 nucleotides) under Flavobacterium sp. RNAcentral's name for it is "bacterial SSU rRNA". It matches the Rfam family "Bacterial small subunit ribosomal RNA", at positions 90 to 849 of the family's 1533-position model. The record is from RNAcentral. Lineage: Bacteria; Pseudomonadati; Bacteroidota; Flavobacteriia; Flavobacteriales; Flavobacteriaceae.